UACGUAGGGUGCGAGCGUUGCCCGGAUUUAUUGGGCGUAAAGGGCGCGCAGGCGGCCACGCACGUCCGUUGUGAAAUCGCUCGGCUCAACUGGGCGGGGUCAGCGGAUACGGCGUGGCUGGAGCAAGCUAGGGGGCAAUGGAAUUCCCGGUGUAGUGGUGGAAUGCGUAGAUAUCAGGAGGAACACCGGUGGCGAAGGCGGCUUGCUGGGCCUUACCUGACGCUGAGGAGCGAAAGCGUGGGGAGCGAACAGG
This 253-nucleotide ribosomal RNA is filed under the name uncultured bacterium. RNAcentral's name for it is "partial 16S ribosomal RNA". It matches the Rfam family "Bacterial small subunit ribosomal RNA", at positions 524 to 776 of the family's 1533-position model. The record is from RNAcentral.